RNAcentral lists this transfer RNA (78 nucleotides) under Armatimonadota bacterium. Its description in RNAcentral is "tRNA-Arg". It matches the Rfam family "tRNA". Rfam says of the family: Transfer RNA (tRNA) molecules are approximately 80 nucleotides in length. Their secondary structure includes four short double-helical elements and three loops (D, anti-codon, and T loops). Lineage: Bacteria; Bacillati; Armatimonadota. The record is from RNAcentral.
GCGCCCGUAGCUCAGCCCGGACAGAGCGUGGGACUUCGGAUCCCAGGGUCGGGGGUUCAAAUCCCUCCGGGCGCGCCA